This is a long non-coding RNA of Myotis lucifugus (little brown bat), 237 nucleotides long. RefSeq lists it as uncharacterized. The record is from RefSeq and is a predicted model, not a curated record. NCBI's taxonomy places the organism in Eukaryota, Metazoa, Chordata, Mammalia, Chiroptera, Vespertilionidae. The transcript is spliced from 2 exons.
UGAAUUCGGUUGAAUGGCUGGUUCAUUGGGUUCUCUGGGUAAAGGCACAAGGACUCUUCAGAAGACACUGGUCUUCAAACUCCACCUCCAGGAACCAAGGAGUUUCCUAUUUCACAGUUCUCCUGCCCGGCCUGGAGAGUGAAGCCGCUUGAAGAACCCACUUGUAGUCUUCUCUUUACUGUCUUAUAUACUGGGGUUUCAGAUUAUAUUUUUAUUAAAAGUUAGAAUUACAUUUAA